UGGUGCCUAUACAAUCAAAUGAAUUACAAAAUAAAGCACAGAAAAUGAUCAGAAUGAUUAGAAGUACAUUUUUACAACAACAAAAAAACAUGAGUAAGGUCAAUUAAAAUUAAUUGAUAGAUUGUCAUCCCCGCCCGCCCCUCUGAAAUCGUCCUGCCCCCGAUUUUUUUAUUUUUGAAAAAUUAACGAUUUCCGGAUUUUGUUCAUCUCCGUUUCCGGUAACCGUCAAUAAUUUUGUUUCCUUCAAAACUUCCUGUUUCAAAUUUCGGCUGUCGUAUUUUUUGGAGUAAUUAAAAAAGAUUCUGUAGCUCUAUGAUGAUAAAAUCGUCUCCCGAGAAUAGAGAUUGAUUAUCGAGAAGGGCAUGAAAUAAUUGUGUUACAAGUAAAAUGUUGUCCAAGAUGGCAAAUUGCGGCAUGACACAAAUUUCUGUGAUUAGAAAACGUUGAUUUUUUUAUUGAUAAAAUGACUUUGUGGCCGGAAUUUUGGACUGUGAAUUAUACCCAAAGAACAAGAAUAUUGAAACACAUUGGUACAAAAACAUCACUGUAUAAACAAAAUGACACAAGCACGAACUUGUUAGAUUUAUGACAGUAUAUUGAGUUUAAAAAGUCGGCAAACAUACGCUUAGAUUUACCCAUGGCUAUUUUUUGGUUGACAAUCAGCAAACACCUUCUGUCCCAAUACCCUCAAUAGAGCCAUUAAACAACUUCUCUUUUUUGGUUUAGUUCAUGUUUUACAUAUUAAAUAUAUUUACAUCUAUAAGAAGAACCAUAAAAGCACCAACCCUAUUGUUUUCAUAAAUGUUUCAUUUUAUUCUGUACUCGUAAUUUUUUAGUUGCAUAUUUGUUUCAUUUAAUGGAGACGAGAAAAAAAACGUCGAUUAGAAAGUCACAUAAAUUUGGUGAAGGUAGUCCAACUGAAGAGAGCAGUCUUUUUUGUUUUUGCUGUUAAGGUUUCUAAAUCCGCAAUUACAUGUAGAACAGUGGUUGCCAAUUAGAGAUUUUUAUGCAGGUUAUGAUUUGAAAUACAUUUAUAUACAUGAUAUAAGCUUAUUAUUACACUUGCAUAUUUGAAGAACACGUCACGAGAGGGUUUCAUAAGAAAUAAAAAUUAAAAAAUUAAAUCCU
This 1128-nucleotide long non-coding RNA is filed under the name Mytilus galloprovincialis (Mediterranean mussel). Lineage: Eukaryota; Metazoa; Mollusca; Bivalvia; Mytilida; Mytilidae. The record is from RNAcentral.